Molecule: long non-coding RNA, 1334 nt
Organism: Rana temporaria (common frog)
Lineage: Eukaryota; Metazoa; Chordata; Amphibia; Anura; Ranidae
Exons: 2
Source: RefSeq, a predicted model, not a curated record
ACGUCUUCUCUUUCAUGGUCACAUUUCACAGGGGUCCCUUUCCCGAAGAACUUCCAGCAGGUGUGUACGAAAAUCCUGACCCGACUUUUCCGCGUCUUCGUCCACGUCUACAUCCAUCACUUCGAUGGCAUUAUCAGCGUGGGAGCCGAGGCGCACGUCAACACCUGCUACAAACACUUCUACUAUUUCAUCACCGAGUUCAGCCUGAUCGACCACCGGGAGCUGGAGCCGCUGAGAGAGAUGACGGAGAAAAUCUGCCACUGAAGCCACCUCCAGGAUGACCAUUUUGUAUCGUAGAAUAUUCCGGACAGGCGAGCCUCCAAUGUGGACUCCAUACCGUCUGGCUGAUGACACCAGCGUCUGAUGGCUCCAUAUCGUGGAAGGUUGGGCCUCCACUAUGGGCUCUAUACAGAGUGACUGGUGACACCGAUGUCUGAUGGCUCUCUAUUCUGGAAGAUCGGGUCUCCAAUGUGGACUUCAUUUGGCCCGGCUGAUGACAUCAGCAUCUGAUGACUCUCUAUAUCCUGAAGGGUUGGGCCUCCAAUGUGAACGCUAUAAAGCCUGGCUGAUGACCCCAGCAUCUGAUGGUUCCCAAUUCCAGAAGGUUGGGUCUCCAAUGUGGACUCUAUAUGGCCUGGCUGAUGACCCCAGCAUCUGAUGGCUCCCAAUUCCAGAAGGUUGGAUCUCCAAUGUGGACUCUAUAUGGCCUGGCUGAUGACCCCAGCAUCUGAUGGCUCCCAAUUCCAGAAGGUUGGGUCUCCAAUGUGGACUCUAUAUGGCCUGGCUGAUGACCCCAGCAUCUGAUGGCUCCAAAUUCCAGAAGGUUGGGCUUCCAAUGUGCACUCUAUAUGGCCUGGCUGAUGACACCAGCGUCUGAUGGCUCCCAAUUCCAGAAGGUUGGGCCUCCAAUGUGGACUCUAUAUGGCCUGGCUGAUGAUACCAGCGGCUGAUGGCUCCCAAUUACAGAAGGUUGGGCCUCCAAUGUGGGCUCUAUAUGGCCUGGCUGAUGACCCCAGCAUCUGAUGGCCCCCAAUUCCAGAAGUUUGGGUCUCCAAUGUGGACUCUAUAUGGCCUGGCUGAUGACACCAGCGUCUGAUGGCUCCCAAUUCGAGAAGGUUGGGCCUCCAAUGUGGACUCCAUGCUGCCUGGCUGGUACCACCAGCAUCUGAUGGCUCUAUAAAGGAUCCUAUCUAUUAGUUCUCUUGUCACAGAAAGAAAAGGAUGACUACUGAGAGAAGACCAGCAAUGGAAGGGUUACUCAUUGAUUAUAGACAGAAUGUAUGACUGAAGGGAAGAUUGUGUUUUUUUUUAUUAAAUAAUAUUGUAUAUAUACA